CCUACGGGGGGCAGCAGUGGGGAAUAUUGGACAAUGGGGGCAACCCUGAUCCAGCCAUGCCGCGUGUGUGAAGAAGGCCCUCGGGUUGUAAAGCACUUUCAGUGAGGAAGAACGCCUGGUGGUUAAUACCCAUCAGGAAAGACAUCACUCACAGAAGAAGCACCGGCUAACUCCGUGCCAGCAGCCGCGGUAAUACGGAGGGUGCGAGCGUUAAUCGGAAUUACUGGGCGUAAAGCGCGCGUAGGUGGCUUGAUAAGCCGGUUGUGAAAGCCCCGGGCUCAACCUGGGAACGGCAUCCGGAACUGUCAAGCUAGAGUGCAGGAGAGGAAGGUAGAAUUCCCGGUGUAGCGGUGAAAUGCGUAGAGAUCGGGAGGAAUACCAGUGGCGAAGGCGGCCUUCUGGACUGACACUGACACUGAGGUGCGAAAGCGUGGAUAGCAAACAGGAUUAGAUACCCUAGUAGUC
Molecule: ribosomal RNA, 465 nt
Filed under: Vreelandella stevensii
Lineage: Bacteria; Pseudomonadati; Pseudomonadota; Gammaproteobacteria; Oceanospirillales; Halomonadaceae
Description: partial 16S ribosomal RNA
Rfam family: Bacterial small subunit ribosomal RNA
Source: RNAcentral